RNAcentral lists this ribosomal RNA (555 nucleotides) under Curtobacterium sp. ENE_1_6. Its description in RNAcentral is "bacterial SSU rRNA". It matches the Rfam family "Bacterial small subunit ribosomal RNA", at positions 664 to 1219 of the family's 1533-position model. Lineage: Bacteria; Bacillati; Actinomycetota; Actinomycetes; Micrococcales; Microbacteriaceae. The record is from RNAcentral.
GAAUUCCUGGUGUAGCGGUGGAAUGCGCAGAUAUCAGGAGGAACACCGAUGGCGAAGGCAGAUCUCUGGGCCGUUACUGACGCUGAGGAGCGAAAGCAUGGGGAGCGAACAGGAUUAGAUACCCUGGUAGUCCAUGCCGUAAACGUUGGGCGCUAGAUGUAGGGACCUUUCCACGGUUUCUGUGUCGUAGCUAACGCAUUAAGCGCCCCGCCUGGGGAGUACGGCCGCAAGGCUAAAACUCAAAGGAAUUGACGGGGGCCCGCACAAGCGGCGGAGCAUGCGGAUUAAUUCGAUGCAACGCGAAGAACCUUACCAAGGCUUGACAUAUACCGGAAACGGCCAGAGAUGGUCGCCCCCUUGUGGUCGGUAUACAGGUGGUGCAUGGUUGUCGUCAGCUCGUGUCGUGAGAUGUUGGGUUAAGUCCCGCAACGAGCGCAACCCUCGUUCUAUGUUGCCAGCGAUUCGGUCGGGGACUCAUAGGAGACUGCCGGGGUCAACUCGGAGGAAGGUGGGGAUGACGUCAAAUCAUCAUGCCCCUUAUGUCUUGGGCUUCAC